This 505-nucleotide ribosomal RNA is filed under the name uncultured bacterium. RNAcentral's name for it is "partial 16S ribosomal RNA". It matches the Rfam family "Bacterial small subunit ribosomal RNA", at positions 28 to 507 of the family's 1533-position model. The record is from RNAcentral.
GACGAACGCUGGCGGCGUGCCUAAUACAUGCAAGUGGGACGCAAGGACACACACUGUGCUUGCACACCGUGUUUUCUUGAGUCACGAACGGGUGAGUAACGCGUAGGUAACCUGCCUAUUAGCGGGGGAUAACUAUUGGAAACGAUAGCUAAUACCGCAUAAUAUUAAUUAUUGCAUGAUAAUUGAUUGAAAGAUGCAAGCGCAUCACUAGUAGAUGGACCUGCGUUGUAUUAGCUAGUUGGUAAGGUAAGAGCUUACCAAGGCGACGAUACAUAGCCGACCUGAGAGGGUGAUCGGCCACACUGGGACUGAGACACGGCCCAGACUCCUACGGGAGGCAGCAGUAGGGAAUCUUCGGCAAUGGACGAAAGUCUGACCGAGCAACGCCGCGUGAGUGAAGAAGGUUUUCGGAUCGUAAAGCUCUGUUGUAAGUCAAGAACGUGUGUGAGAGUGGAAAGUUCACACAGUGACGGUAGCUUACCAGAAAGGGACGGCUAACUACGUG